This is a long non-coding RNA of Brassica oleracea var. oleracea, 921 nucleotides long. RefSeq lists it as uncharacterized. The record is from RefSeq and is a predicted model, not a curated record. NCBI's taxonomy places the organism in Eukaryota, Viridiplantae, Streptophyta, Magnoliopsida, Brassicales, Brassicaceae. The transcript has 6 exons.
UACAAUAGAUUUUUCCCGGGAAGUAACAAAAAAAAGUGAAGAACUUUUAGCCAUUCGUUGUCGGUGAAAAGCUGAUAAACUUUACGACUUCUUCGUCUCUCUCUCUUCUUCCAUUGUAUCAAUCAAAAAAAGUUAACGACGAAAUCAGUUGAGAUUGAUUGUCACGAAUGUUUCUCAACAUAUGCAUGCGGUUUGCUAUGUCGACCUCCGUAAAAUUCAAGAUCGAGUCAUGACAAACGAAGAGGUUCAAAAGAAGAAAAAACUAUAUCAAUUUCCGAUUUUGCAACGAAAGGAAAACUCAUCAAGACAGUCUAACAACAAAGAUUCCUUGAUUCAGCUAUAAUAAGGCAAUAGCCCGUCCAAGAGAUUAGAAGCAAAUUUUACCAAUACGAAGACUUCAUUAAAGAACCGAGUUAAAGGAUACUGCAUUGUAUCACUGACGGAAGCUCUCAGAUGGGCUAAGGAGCUCAAGCAUGACUUAGUUGAGUCCAGAGAGAUGCUAACCCACCAGGUGUUAAAUUGCAAACUACGCCAAUGAGAAGUACAAAAAGGCUCAAGUAGGAAAGGAGCAUCCUAAGGCCAAGCUGAAGUACCCAUUCGACCAGAAGUCAAAAGAAAUCCGAUUUACUCCAAAAGUUUAAGGUUUCUCUUGAAAUGCUUUAUAUGUUUCUUUAUCUUCUCUGGGUUAAUGAUUAAACCUACAAAGAAAAUUUUCUUUUUCUCUUCUGGAUGCAAAGGACUUGCAGUUUAAAGCAAAGCAAGUAAGGAAACUGAUGGAAAGUGGAUAUCGUGUGGAGGUAUAAAUCAAAGUCCCAAACUUUAACAUACCAAGUUAAAAUCUGGUUGAUAUAAUUACCUUGCAUGUAAAUUUCACAAAUACGUAUCUUACAUGAUAGUUAUAUUAUUUAAGUGUUAUGUCUU